GUUGUUUAUACAAGCUUUGAAAAUAAGAUUGACAUCUUUAAACAAUAUAUACAGGCAUAGUUUAACUUGUAUAAUUUAUAUUUGACCUUAAUUCUUCUCCUUUUAUAUAUUAUAUUGGGCCGUUUUUGUUUUGUUUGUUUUUUGUUUUUUUUUGUUAUUUUUUUGUUUGUUUUUGGAUUGUUUUACUCAAGUAAUUUUUGGGUUAUUUAUAGCGUACUUUUCGGCACUGAACCUAUGACUGCUUACUUUACUAGAUUGUGUCUUUUUUGGAAAGAUGUCUCAUUUGGCACUCAUACCGCAUCUUCUCAUUUCUAUAUACAAAGCACGUUUUAGAAUAAAAAUAAUAGGUAAUGUGGCACCCACUGUGACCCAGGAGCUUUAAAUAUUG
RNAcentral lists this long non-coding RNA (388 nucleotides) under Mytilus galloprovincialis (Mediterranean mussel). The record is from RNAcentral. Lineage: Eukaryota; Metazoa; Mollusca; Bivalvia; Mytilida; Mytilidae.